RNAcentral lists this transfer RNA (72 nucleotides) under Phormidesmis priestleyi. RNAcentral's name for it is "tRNA-Gly". It matches the Rfam family "tRNA". Rfam says of the family: Transfer RNA (tRNA) molecules are approximately 80 nucleotides in length. Their secondary structure includes four short double-helical elements and three loops (D, anti-codon, and T loops). Lineage: Bacteria; Bacillati; Cyanobacteriota; Cyanophyceae; Leptolyngbyales; Leptolyngbyaceae. The record is from RNAcentral.
GCGGGUGUAGCUCAGUGGUAGAGCGCAACCUUGCCAAGGUUGAAGUCGAGAGUUCGAAUCUCUUCACCCGCU